Long non-coding RNA from Saimiri boliviensis boliviensis (Bolivian squirrel monkey), 315 nucleotides. RefSeq lists it as uncharacterized. Lineage: Eukaryota; Metazoa; Chordata; Mammalia; Primates; Cebidae. The record is from RefSeq and is a predicted model, not a curated record.
CUGGGAUUGCAGGCAUGUGCCACCACACCCAGGUGGUUUCAACUUGCCCGUCAUGUAAACAAUGCUACAAUGAACAUCUUUGUGCAGCCGCCUUGUGUGCAGGACAGUCAGCUUAUGGGGAAUUCCCGGGAUCAACAGGAAGCACCGAGAAGGGGAAACUGAACCGCAGAGGCCGGCGUGGCCCCAAGGCCUGUAGGAAAUACCCCAAUAUAGGAGAUUCCCUCAUAUCCCUGGCCAACGGGAUCUCUCUAAGAAGCCACUGCGACCCGUGAGCCGAGACUGCGCCAGCACACUCCAGCCUGGGCAACAGAGCAA